RNAcentral lists this ribosomal RNA (301 nucleotides) under uncultured bacterium. RNAcentral's name for it is "partial 16S ribosomal RNA". It matches the Rfam family "Bacterial small subunit ribosomal RNA", at positions 509 to 808 of the family's 1533-position model. The record is from RNAcentral.
CAGCAGCCGCGGGAAUACGUAGGUGGCGAGCGUUGUCCGGAAUCAUUGGGCGUAAAGGGAGCGCAGGCGGGCAAGUAAGUCUGAAGUUAAAGGCAUUGGCUCAACCAAUGUAUGCUUUGGAAACUGUUAGACUUGAGUGCAGAAGGGGAGAGUGGAAUUCCAUGUGUAGCGGUGAAAUGCGUAGGUAUAUGGAGGAACACCGGUGGCGAAAGCGGCUCUCUGGUCUGUCACUGACGCUGAGGCUCGAAAGCGUGGGUAGCGAACAGGAUUAGAUACCCCGGUAGUCCCUGUCUCUUAUACC